Long non-coding RNA from Panicum virgatum (switchgrass), 156 nucleotides. RefSeq lists it as uncharacterized. The record is from RefSeq and is a predicted model, not a curated record. Lineage: Eukaryota; Viridiplantae; Streptophyta; Magnoliopsida; Poales; Poaceae. The transcript is spliced from 2 exons.
CCAGGUACUUCAUUAUUUCCUCUACUGCUGAACUUUAGACCUGCACUACACCAAUUGUUUGUAUUGCAAUAUAAGGGAACAUGCUGGUGCUCAUCUUGCAAGCAUCCAUAGCAGCUGGUACCCUAGCCGAGAACUUGGUGAAGGCCUUGGUGACGG